This 476-nucleotide ribosomal RNA is filed under the name uncultured bacterium. RNAcentral describes it as "partial 16S ribosomal RNA". It matches the Rfam family "Bacterial small subunit ribosomal RNA", at positions 28 to 507 of the family's 1533-position model. The record is from RNAcentral.
GACGAACGCUGGCGGCGUGCCUAAUACAUGCAAGUUGAGCGCUGAAGGUUGGUACUUGUACCAACUGGAUGAGCAGCGCACGGGUGAGUAACGCGUGGGGAAUCUGCCUUUGAGCGGGGGACAACAUUUGGAAACGAAUGCUAAUACCGCAUAAAAACUUUAAACACAAGUUUUAAGUUUGAAAGAUGCAAUUGCAUCACUCAAAGAUGAUCCCGCGUUGUAUUAGCUAGUUGGUGAGGUAAAGGCUCACCAAGGCGAUGAUACAUAGCCGACCUGAGAGGGUGACAGGCAACAUCGGGACGGAGAUACGGCCCGGACGCGUAGGGGAGGCAGGAGUGGGGAAUAGAGCACAAUGGGCGGAGGGAGGAUGGAGCAAGGCGGCGUGCGGGAUGACGGGUGUCGGGUUGUAGACAGAUGGAGCCUGUGACGAAGCGUGAGUGACGGUAAUGGGUAAAGAAGCACCGGCUAACCACGUG